This 1424-nucleotide ribosomal RNA is filed under the name metagenome. RNAcentral describes it as "bacterial SSU rRNA". It matches the Rfam family "Bacterial small subunit ribosomal RNA". The record is from RNAcentral.
GGAGCAAUCCUGGUGGCGAGUGGCGAACGGGUGAGUAAUGUAUCGGAACGUACCUUUCAGUGGGGGAUAACGUAGCGAAAGUUACGCUAAUACCGCAUAUUCUGUGAGCAGGAAAGCAGGGGAUCGCAAGACCUUGCGCUGAUUGAGCGGCCGAUAUCAGAUUAGCUAGUUGGUGAGGUAAAGGCUCACCAAGGCGACGAUCUGUAGCGGGUCUGAGAGGAUGAUCCGCCACACUGGAACUGAGACACGGUCCAGACUCCUACGGGAGGCAGCAGUGGGGAAUUUUGGACAAUGGGCGCAAGCCUGAUCCAGCCAUGCCGCGUGAGUGAAGAAGGCCUUCGGGUUGUAAAGCUCUUUCAGCCGGGAAGAAAACGCAUGGGUUAAUACCCUGUGUGGAUGACGGUACCGGAAUAAGAAGCACCGGCUAACUACGUGCCAGCAGCCGCGGUAAUACGUAGGGUGCGAGCGUUAAUCGGAAUUACUGGGCGUAAAGCGUGCGCAGGCGGUUUGUUAAGAUAGGCGUGAAAUCCCCGGGCUCAACCUGGGAACUGCGUUUAUGACUGGCAAGCUAGAGUAUGGCAGAGGGGGGUGGAAUUCCACGUGUAGCAGUGAAAUGCGUAGAGAUGUGGAGGAACACCGAUGGCGAAGGCAGCCCCCUGGGCCAAUACUGACGCUCAUGCACGAAAGCGUGGGUAGCAAACAGGAUUAGAUACCCUGGUAGUCCACGCCCUAAACGAUGUCAACUAGGUGUUGGGAGGGUAAAACCUUUUAGUACCGGAGCUAACGCGUGAAGUUGACCGCCUGGGGAGUACGGCCGCAAGGUUAAAACUCAAAGGAAUUGACGGGGACCCGCACAAGCGGUGGAUGAUGUGGAUUAAUUCGAUGCAACGCGAAAAACCUUACCUACCCUUGACGUGUCCGGAAGCCCUUAGAGAUUUGGGUGUGCUCGAAAGAGAGCCGGAACACAGGUGCUGCAUGGCUGUCGUCAGCUCGUGUCGUGAGAUGUUGGGUUUCCCGCAACGAGCGCAACCCUUGUCGUUAAUUGCCAUCAUUUAGUUGGGCACUUUAACGAGACUGCCGGUGACAAACCGGAGGAAGGUGGGGAUGACGUCAAGUCCUCAUGGCCCUUAUGGGUAGGGCUUCACACGUCAUACAAUGGUCGGUACAAAGGGUCGCCAACCCGCGAGGGGGAGCCAAUCCCAGAAAGCCGAUCGUAGUCCGGAUCGUAGGCUGCAACUCGCCUGCGUGAAGUCGGAAUCGCUAGUAAUCGUGGAUCAGCAUGUCAUGGUGAAUACGUUCCCGGGUCUUGUACACACCGCCCGUCACACCAUGGGAGCGGGUUCCGCCAGAAGUAGGUAGCCUAACCGCAAGGAGGGCGCUUACCACGGCGGGGUUCGUGACUGGGGUGAAGUCGUAACAAGGUA